Molecule: non-coding RNA, 103 nt
Organism: Picea glauca (white spruce)
Lineage: Eukaryota; Viridiplantae; Streptophyta; Pinopsida; Pinales; Pinaceae
Source: Rfam
AUCUCUUUAGAGACAUCCGAUAAAAUUGAAACGAUACAAAGAAAAUUUGCAUGACUCCUGCGUAAGGAUGACACACACAAAUCAAGAAAUGAAUCAAACAUCA